This 101-nucleotide unclassified non-coding RNA is filed under the name uncultured Saccharomycetales. Its description in RNAcentral is "sequence contains ITS1". The record is from RNAcentral. Lineage: Eukaryota; Fungi; Ascomycota; Saccharomycetes.
UUGAGUCCAUUCAUAUUCGUGAACCAAAUUUGCUUGGCUCCUGUCUGGGGGCCGAAUUUUAACACCAUUUGAUUUGUCUGACAGAAAUUAUUAAAAAUUUA